UACGUAGGCAGCAAGCGUUGUUCGGAAUUAUUGGGCGUAAAGGGCGCGUAGGCGGCCUGGCAAGUGGAAGGUGAAAUCCCUCGGCUUAACCGAGGAACUGCCCUCCAAACUGCUUGGCUUGAGUCCGGGAGAGGUGAGUGGAAUUCCCAGUGUAGCGGUGAAAUGCGUAGAUAUUGGGAGGAACACCAGUGGCGAAGGCGGCUCACUGGACCGGAACUGACGCUGAGGCGCGAAAGCGUGGGGAGCAAACGGG
This 253-nucleotide ribosomal RNA is filed under the name uncultured bacterium. RNAcentral's name for it is "partial 16S ribosomal RNA". It matches the Rfam family "Bacterial small subunit ribosomal RNA", at positions 524 to 776 of the family's 1533-position model. The record is from RNAcentral.